UUGAGAUUUCUCGAUGUCUUGA
RNAcentral lists this non-coding RNA (22 nucleotides) under Arabidopsis thaliana (thale cress). The record is from RNAcentral. Lineage: Eukaryota; Viridiplantae; Streptophyta; Magnoliopsida; Brassicales; Brassicaceae.